AUAUCCACCUCUGGUUUGCAGGAGAGAACGUGCUCCACCAAGACCUGCCUCCAGAGAGAGAGAUGCUGCCUCCUAUACAGAGAGGCGUGAGAAAGACAAGUCAUAGGCGACAGGUAAACUUCUAACCCCACCCUGAUUUUUCUUUCAGAAAG
Molecule: long non-coding RNA, 152 nt
Organism: Thalassophryne amazonica
Lineage: Eukaryota; Metazoa; Chordata; Actinopteri; Batrachoidiformes; Batrachoididae
Exons: 3
Source: RefSeq, a predicted model, not a curated record